This 776-nucleotide ribosomal RNA is filed under the name uncultured Neocallimastigales. RNAcentral's name for it is "partial large subunit ribosomal RNA". It matches the Rfam family "Eukaryotic large subunit ribosomal RNA", at positions 22 to 621 of the family's 3401-position model. Lineage: Eukaryota; Fungi; Neocallimastigomycota; Neocallimastigomycetes; Neocallimastigales. The record is from RNAcentral.
UAUCAGUCAUGCAUAGCAUAUCAAUAAGCGGAGGAAAAGAAACUAACAAGGAUUCCCUUAGUAACGGCGGAGUGAAGCGGGAAGAGCUCAAAUUUGAAAUCUUCAAGGUUUUACCUUGACGAAUUGUAGUUUAAAGAAGUGUUUUCUGUUGAAGUUUUGGUAAAAGUUCUUUGGAAGUAGGACAUCAUAGAGGGUGAGAAUCCCGUAUUUGACCAUUACUUUCAGCUUUGUGAUACACUUUCAAAGAGUCGGAUUGUUUGGGAAUGCAGUCCAAAAUGGGUGGUAAAUUUCAUCUAAAGCUAAAUAUUGGCGAGAGACCGAUAGCGAACAAGUACCGUGAGGGAAAGAUGAAAAGAACUUUGAAAAGAGAGUUAAACAGUACGUGAAAUUGUCAAAAGGGAAGCGUUUGACACCAGUGUUGUUUUCUCGAAAAUCAAUUAAAAAGAGUUGGAUUUUGUGUUGUAUUGACUUUAUCAGCUUUCUUCACUCUUUUCCAGCUUUUUUAAUGCACCUUUUCGUUUAACAAGUCAACAUCAGUUUCUUUUGUUGCUAAAAAGGUCAUUGGAAGGUGGCUUUCUCUUCGGAGAAAGUGUUUAUAGCCUUUGACUCAUGCAAUCGGAGAGACUGAGGUCUGCAGCGUAGAUCCUUCGGGGUUAGAUACAUUUGUGCUAAGUUAUAGCUUUUCAUAGACAACUUGUUGACUAUGUUUAGUCUUGUAGCUUACUCGCUUAUGCUAUUUUACCUACGCUUAGGAUGUUGAACUCUAUCACACACAG